UCCCCAGCAACUCCUAUCCCUACCUCCUCGCGGUACUGGCCGGGGUACGAGUAACCUUAGGGAAGAUCGGGUAACCAACCCCCGGUGGGAACUUUGGUCGUAUGCUGACAGGGAAGG
Molecule: ribozyme, 117 nt
Filed under: Aedes aegypti (yellow fever mosquito)
Lineage: Eukaryota; Metazoa; Arthropoda; Insecta; Diptera; Culicidae
Description: drz-agam-1 ribozyme
Rfam family: drz-agam-1 ribozyme
Source: Rfam by way of RNAcentral